RNAcentral lists this ribosomal RNA (1205 nucleotides) under Staphylococcus aureus. RNAcentral's name for it is "bacterial SSU rRNA". It matches the Rfam family "Bacterial small subunit ribosomal RNA", at positions 73 to 1262 of the family's 1533-position model. The record is from RNAcentral. Lineage: Bacteria; Bacillati; Bacillota; Bacilli; Caryophanales; Staphylococcaceae.
GAGAAGCUUGCUUCUCUGAUGUUAGCGGCGGACGGGUGAGUAACACGUGGAUAACCUACCUAUAAGACUGGGAUAACUUCGGGAAACCGGAGCUAAUACCGGAUAAUAUUUUGAACCGCAUGGUUCAAAAGUGAAAGACGGUCUUGCUGUCACUUAUAGAUGGAUCCGCGCUGCAUUAGCUAGUUGGUAAGGUAACGGCUUACCAAGGCAACGAUGCAUAGCCGACCUGAGAGGGUGAUCGGCCACACUGGAACUGAGACACGGUCCAGACUCCUACGGGAGGCAGCAGUAGGGAAUCUUCCGCAAUGGGCGAAAGCCUGACGGAGCAACGCCGCGUGAGUGAUGAAGGUCUUCGGAUCGUAAAACUCUGUUAUUAGGGAAGAACAUAUGUGUAAGUAACUGUGCACAUCUUGACGGUACCUAAUCAGAAAGCCACGGCUAACUACGUGCCAGCAGCCGCGGUAAUACGUAGGUGGCAAGCGUUAUCCGGAAUUAUUGGGCGUAAAGCGCGCGUAGGCGGUUUUUUAAGUCUGAUGUGAAAGCCCACGGCUCAACCGUGGAGGGUCAUUGGAAACUGGAAAACUUGAGUGCAGAAGAGGAAAGUGGAAUUCCAUGUGUAGCGGUGAAAUGCGCAGAGAUAUGGAGGAACACCAGUGGCGAAGGCGACUUUCUGGUCUGUAACUGACGCUGAUGUGCGAAAGCGUGGGGAUCAAACAGGAUUAGAUACCCUGGUAGUCCACGCCGUAAACGAUGAGUGCUAAGUGUUAGGGGGUUUCCGCCCCUUAGUGCUGCAGCUAACGCAUUAAGCACUCCGCCUGGGGAGUACGACCGCAAGGUUGAAACUCAAAGGAAUUGACGGGGACCCGCACAAGCGGUGGAGCAUGUGGUUUAAUUCGAAGCAACGCGAAGAACCUUACCAAAUCUUGACAUCCUUUGACAACUCUAGAGAUAGAGCCUUCCCCUUCGGGGGACAAAGUGACAGGUGGUGCAUGGUUGUCGUCAGCUCGUGUCGUGAGAUGUUGGGUUAAGUCCCGCAACGAGCGCAACCCUUAAGCUUAGUUGCCAUCAUUAAGUUGGGCACUCUAAGUUGACUGCCGGUGACAAACCGGAGGAAGGUGGGGAUGACGUCAAAUCAUCAUGCCCCUUAUGAUUUGGGCUACACACGUGCUACAAUGGACAAUACAAAGGGCAGCGAAACCGCGAGG